Molecule: small RNA, 3410 nt
Filed under: Pan troglodytes (chimpanzee)
Lineage: Eukaryota; Metazoa; Chordata; Mammalia; Primates; Hominidae
Description: retained intron
Rfam family: Small nucleolar RNA SNORA5 (bases 1366-1497)
Source: RNAcentral
UUACCAUCUGCUCUCUUCUGCAAGGCUGGAUUCAGGGCCAAAGGGCUCUAGAGCCACCCAUGUUGACACUGUGGGCCCUGUGGACACAGUACCUGAAUAGCAGUUACCCUCUUCAGAAACAAAGCAGGCACCAGCAGAGAGGACGGGCUGUGGUGCAGGUUCCGGACCCAGAACUAUGUAGAAAUAAGUUCACCUUCGUUUACCUGUAUAGUGGGACUGAUGGUUCUCAUAGGAUGUUGGUGUCUCAUAGGGGUACGCACACAGAAGGAUGCCUGGCAUUUAGUAAGAGCCUGUUCAGAGGUGCUGCUGGUAGCAGCAGCAGCUUGGUCAUCCCCAGGAGGCCUCUGCAUUUGGGAGUGGGCAGGGCUUAGUGAUACCGGGGGUCUUUUUACCCAUAUGUCAAAAGCUUUCCUGCAAACCUUUGUGCCUGGGGUGCUCCUCCCUUUGCAGGCAGUUGAGGGUCUGGCAUGCUUGGGUGCCGCAUCCCUGGAGGGUAAAGGUGGUGGUUCACUGCCUAACGCUCUGCAGGGACUCCUGCUUAUUGCAGCAGUUGCAUUCCUAAGAAACUUUCACGUUGCCAGAAACUGCGAGGUUGGUUUGUUAGAGAACAGUUUAGGGGUUGGAGCUUCUCUGACUCAAAAACAAAUUAUUUUCCUGGAGAAAAGCCAGUGUUUUUUGUUUUGUUGUUUGAGACAGAGUCUCACUCUGUCACCCAGGCUGGAGUGCAGUGGCACAAUCUCAGCUCACUGCAGCCUCCACCUUCCAGGUUCAAGUGAUCUUCCCACCUCAGCCUCCCAAGUAGCUGGGACUACAGGCAUGUGCCACCACACCUGGCUAAUUUUUGUAAUUUUAAUAGGCACAGGGUUUCACCACAUUCACCAGGCUAGUCUCGAACUCCUGACCUCAGGUGAUCUGCCCGGCCCAAGUUUUUAAUACCUAAAACUUUUAAUGUCAUUGCAAGUAAAAGUCACGAAUGAUAACAAAACUGAUCUUAGCAAGCGUAAGUGCCACCUUCUCUGCCAUCAGGUGACAUCCAUCAGGCUCAACUUUUUCUCUGACCUCUUGUAUUGACUUGACAGCUUUACUUGCAGCUGAAAUCUACGUGCUCACUACCCAGAGCUGUAGCCAGGACCAUGUAAAAGAGUGUGGUCUCUCUUUAAUCAACUACAUUAGGUCAAAACUUCAUUGGGGAAACUUGGAGAAUUUCCCUUGCCACUCUAGAGUUCUUGCUUGCAAGCAAUUGCAAAUGACCUCAGCCACCUUGAGCAGAAAUGUGCUAUUUAUUGUAGCCUAGAGGAUCAGGCUUAGAGGUGUACCCUUGGAUCUGGCCUGUGCCUGAGCGGUGCUCUGGCUCUGCAGGUGCUUGGCAGCCAUGUCAAAUUCAGUGCCUGCCCUGUCUAUGGUAGGCACUGGCCCAGAAGACUGCCACAGAAACAGUGACUCACGGGCCCUGUUCCUGUGUCCCAGGCUCAGGGAUAAAUUUGGUUACAGACACCAAGCGUCUAGGCCUCGAGGCUGAGCAAGGCUGUGAGGAGCAGCCAGGCACUGGGGCCCUGUUACAAUGGAGUGGGGAACUGAUACUGUCUUCUCUGAAGAGUUGUAGUAAAUGCUCAUGAAACAAGGUUCAGAGAGGUAGCCUCCAGCUCACACACAGGACUGACAGUGCCACAUCAUUUCUCCUGUGUCCUUUCUCUGCCUAGAUAGCCUCGGUCUGGCAUGGUACCCUCUCGAAGCUGCUGGGAAGCCUGUAUGCUCUGGGCAUCCCCAAGGCCUCCAAGGAGCUGCAGUCGGUGGAGCAGGAGGUCCGCUGGCGCAUGCGGAAGCUCAAGUACAAGCACCUGGCCUUCCUGGCAGAGUCCUGUGCCACCCUCUCACAGGAGCAGCACUCGCAGGAGCUGCUGGCUGAGCUGCUCAUGCACCUGGAAAGGCGUUGGACAGAAAUUGAAGAUUCCCACACAUUAGUGACCGUCAUGAUGAAGGUGGGACACCUCUCGGAGCCACUAAUGAACCGCCUGGAAGACAAGUGCCUGGAGUUGGUGGAGCACUUUGGCCCCAAUGAGCUGCGGAAGGUGCUGGUGAUGCUGGCAGCUCAGAGCCGGCGGUCCGUGCCCUUGCUGCGGGCCAUCUCCUACCACCUGGUGCAGAAGCCCUUCUCUCUGACGAAAGAUGUGCUCUUGGACGUGGCCUAUGCCUAUGGCAAACUCAGCUUUCACCAGACCCAGGUGUCCCAGCGCCUGGCCACCGACCUGCUAUCCCUCAUGCCCAGCCUGACUUCUGGUGAGGUGGCCCACUGUGCCAAGUCCUUCGCCUUACUCAAGUGGCUCAGCCUGCCCCUGUUUGAGGCCUUUGCCCAGCACGUCCUGAACAGAGCGCAGGACAUCACCCUGCCCCACCUGUGCAGCGUACUUCUGGCUUUUGCGCGUCUGAACUUCCAUCCAGACCAAGAGGAUCAGUUCUUCAGCCUGGUACAUGAGAAGCUGGGGUCAGAGCUGCCAGGCCUGGAGCCAGCCCUGCAGGUGGACCUGGUGUGGGCCCUGUGUGUGCUGCAGCAGGCACGGGAAGCAGAGCUGCAAGCUGUCCUCCACCCUGAAUUUCACAUCCAAUUUCUAGGGGGCAAGUCUCAGAAGGAUCAGAACACCUUCCAGAAGCUGCUCCACAUCAACGCCACUGCCCUGCUGGAGUACCCCGAGUACUCCGGUCCCCUUCUGCCUGCCUCGGCUGUGGCCCCUGGGCCCUCAGCCCUUGACAGGAAGGUGACCCCCCUGCAAAAGGAGCUGCAGGAGACGCUGAAGGGGCUGCUGGGGAGCGCCGACAAGGGCAGCCUCGAGGUGGCCACGCAGUAUGGCUGGGUGCUGGAUGCUGAGGUGCUGCUGGACAGUGACGGCGAGUUUCUGCCCGUAAGGGACUUUGUGGCACCUCACCUUGCCCAGCCAACUGGGAGCCAGUCACCACCUCCAGGGUCUAAGAGGCUAGCGUUCUUGCGGUGGGAGUUCCCCAACUUCAACAGCCGAAGCAAGGACUUGCUGGGUCGCUUUGUUCUGGCCCGGCGACACAUAGUGGCUGCAGGCUUCCUGAUAGUGGACGUCCCAUUCUAUGAGUGGCUGGAACUCAAGUCUGAAUGGCAGAAAGGCGCCUACCUCAAGGACAAGAUGCGCAAAGCGGUGGCUGAGGAGCUGGCCAAGUGACUUGUGCCAGCAGCAUGGACUGCGUGCCUCUCCGCCGGAGGUCUAGCUGUGGGCGGGCAAGAAGGGUCACCCUUGAGGACAAACCUCUGUGCAGGACCUUGGCCAGAGUGGGGAGGGUGGCCAGCCACUCUGAGGGACAGAACGUCCUCUUGUGUAUAAUAAACCUUUAAUUUUUGGUGUUGGACCCCUGGGGCCUUCCCAGGCUUGGUCACCCUCUGCACUGUC